Molecule: long non-coding RNA, 581 nt
Organism: Mercurialis annua (annual mercury)
Lineage: Eukaryota; Viridiplantae; Streptophyta; Magnoliopsida; Malpighiales; Euphorbiaceae
Exons: 2
Source: RefSeq, a predicted model, not a curated record
UCUCCUAAUUAUGAUGUGUGAAAAGCUUUGAACUCACUCUUGCUUGAUAAGGAGCAGCUGAAAACCGAAACUUUGGAUAACAUUUGAGAAACUUCAACAUGAAUGCAUAUUGUUCUACAAAUCAUCAGAUUUGCCAUCCUAACUUUUUGUUGAACAAUAUCAAUUUAGUCUUUAUAAAUGAUAGUAACUUGAUGGAAACACAUAGCUAGUGCUUACACUUGCCAUAAAUCCCACGCUCCUUAUUGCCAAUGGAGGGGCUGUAGUACUGAAUCAGCCGGAUAGUCUUCACUCUUCAGUGGCAGAAGUCACCAUGGAGAUAUCGUUGCAGAGUUCUGCCAUCAAACAUAACCACGACAGUCUACUUAAGGGCGGGAAUUGUCGGGAGGGUGGAAUUAGUGAGUUAUAGAUGCAAUGAGUAACCAAGAUCGCCUAUUCCGUGAUUUCAUCUUCUAUCAUAGUUUUCUUUACAAAUUUCAUCUAUGUGUUUCCUAUCUGAGAAUAACCAUAUAUAUCUACUGUUACAUUUACUUUGAACAGUCAAAUCCUGCUCUCUACUAAUAUGAAACUGUUGAAAUUUGUUU